RNAcentral lists this ribosomal RNA (499 nucleotides) under uncultured Rickettsiales bacterium. RNAcentral's name for it is "bacterial SSU rRNA". It matches the Rfam family "Bacterial small subunit ribosomal RNA", at positions 89 to 623 of the family's 1533-position model. The record is from RNAcentral. Lineage: Bacteria; Pseudomonadati; Pseudomonadota; Alphaproteobacteria; Rickettsiales.
UACUGAGUGGCAGACGGGUGAGUAACAUGUGGGAAUCUGCCUUGUGGUUCAGGACAACAUUGGGAAACCGAUGCUAAUACUGGAUAAGCCCUUACGGGGAAAGUUUUAAUGCCAUAAGAUGAGCCCGCAUUUGCUUAGUUAGUUGGUGAGGUAAUGGCUCACCAAGACAAUGAUCAAUAGCUGAUCUGAGAGGAUGAUCAGCCACACUGGGACUGAGACACGGCCCAGACUCCUACGGGAGGCAGCAGUGGGGAAUCUUGCACAAUGGAGGAAACUCUGAUGCAGCGAUGCCGCGUGAGUGAAGAAGGCCUUUGGGUUGUAAAGCUCUUUUGUAGGGGAAGAUAAUGACUGUACCCUAAGAAUAAGGUCCGGCUAACUUCGUGCCAGCAGCCGCGGUAAUACGAAGGGACCUAGCGUAGUUCGGAAUUACUGGGCGUAAAGCGCGCGUAGGCCGUUGAGUUAGUUAAUUGUGAAAUCCCAAAGCUUAACUUUGGAACUG